CGGGCAGCCACUGGGAGGAGUCGCUGCACCGCGCAGGUUUUUAAAUGCGCAGGGCGCGGGGCGCGGAGCUAUCGGAGGGACUGCGGUUCCAGCGCCGGAGCGGAGCAGACUGACAGGACACGUGUGACCUCAACUGGGUUCUGCAAGACCAGCUGUUUGCAAUGAAUGGCCAGGUCACUCCUCCUCUUGAUACCCUGUUCACCAACGGUGCUGAGCAGGCCUUCAUCCCC
Molecule: long non-coding RNA, 230 nt
Filed under: Ictidomys tridecemlineatus (thirteen-lined ground squirrel)
Lineage: Eukaryota; Metazoa; Chordata; Mammalia; Rodentia; Sciuridae
Description: lncRNA (ENSSTOG00000033606.1)
Source: RNAcentral